CUGCGGAGGGACAUUACACAAAUAUGAAGGCGGGCUGGAACCUCUCGGGGUUACAGCCUUGCUGAAUUAUUCACCCUUGUCUUUUGCGUACUUCUUGUUUCCUUGGUGGGUUCGCCCACCACUAGGACAAACAUAAACCUUUUGUAAUUGCAAUCAGCGUCAGUAACAAAUUAAUAAUUACAACUUUCAACAACGGAUCUCUUGGUUCUGGCAUCGAUGAAGAACGCAGCGAAAUGCGAUAAGUAGUGUGAAUUGCAGAAUUCAGUGAAUCAUCGAAUCUUUGAACGCACAUUGCGCCCUUUGGUAUUCCAAAGGGCAUGCCUGUUCGAGCGUCAUUUGUACCCUCAAGCUUUGCUUGGUGUUGGGCGUCUUGUCUCUAGCUUUGCUGGAGACUCGCCUUAAAGUAAUUGGCAGCCGGCCUACUGGUUUCGGAGCGCAGCACAAGUCGCACUCUCUAUCAGCAAAGGUCUAGCAUCCAUUAAGCCUUUUUUUCCACUUUUGACCUCGGAUCAGGUAAGGAUACCCGCUGAACUUAA
This 536-nucleotide ribosomal RNA is filed under the name Alternaria alternata. Its description in RNAcentral is "eukaryotic LSU rRNA". The stretch from base 182 to 335 matches the Rfam family "5.8S ribosomal RNA". Lineage: Eukaryota; Fungi; Ascomycota; Dothideomycetes; Pleosporales; Pleosporaceae. The record is from RNAcentral.